RNAcentral lists this long non-coding RNA (741 nucleotides) under Homo sapiens (human). RNAcentral describes it as "long non-coding RNA NONHSAT155598.1". The record is from RNAcentral. Lineage: Eukaryota; Metazoa; Chordata; Mammalia; Primates; Hominidae.
CUGGGACCUUGGGAGCUAUUGCUCCUGGCACUGGAGCACUAUCAUGAGACGACUCUGCACCAACUGACUUGUCUAUUUCAGUCACAUUUUCAAAUACCCAGGAGAGAGAACAUAGCUGGCCAGCUUGACAGGUGUCUCUAGCUUCGGCCAGAGAACAGGACACGGAGCACCAGCAUGGUCACUGGGAGAUCAGUUGUGAGCCAGAAGCCACUGCAGGUUGUGUCUACUAGAGAAAGAAGGACCUGCUAGAGAAAGAGGGAUCCUGCCCCAAUGAUGGAAGCCAGCUGAAGCUGUAGAUUAACUAAAAAAAAAAAAAAAAAGUAAUCAAGCAUCUUGCAGAAGCUGUGAUUCUGGUUUGUAGCACAGUCCUCCCUACCGCUGCUGCUCUCUACUCAUCUGGUAGAACUGGCCCUUCCUCUCCCAUGCUCCUCACUCAGCCCCAUGCAGGGGCAGAGGCAGAGGUCUUCAAGAACUCCCAUUCUCUUGGCGUCCAUUGCAAUGAAACUACCUCUGAUGGAAGAGAGGAGACCUUGUGGUACAGGCCAGGCAGCCCACACUCCAUCAAUGUCUGGCCCUGAAAAAAGCAACCCCAUCCCCAGCUACAUGAAAGCUUUUCUCCCACAUGGAUCAUCACUUGAUCUUGCUUAUCCAUCUCUCUUGGGAAUGAUCCACCUGAGAAAUAUGACAGAAGCCAUUGCCAUAGCUGUUGCCAGGUACCCCAAGUUCUGUUUCUGAUGGGAC